UUUCUUUGCUUUUGACACCUUCCAUCCUUUUGGAAAAAAUCUCCCUUUUUUCAAGCUGUCUUGUCACUUGUCAUGAAAUGCUUAGGCUGAUCCAUGUUACAUUUCCAUCCACAGCCAUUAGCUAGUAAUUAUCUGCUUCUUGAUAUGCCUUACGUCUUGGAUUGAAUUUUGUGGAAUAGGACUUAUUCCAGUCUCCCUAGGAUAUUGUCUUCUGUAUCACUGAGGAGACCUAUCUUCAUGCCAGCACAACUGAGAUCUGGAAUCAUAUCCUAGCUCCCAUAUGCAUUGGAAUCCCCAGCUAGGAGUUGUGCUUACGGCAGAGAGCAUUAAUGACAGAAGAGUAGACACAGUGAGCCAAAAUGCUGGCAGAAGGGGUUGAUUUUUUAGAAAAUAUUUGUAAUCAACAAAUUGAGAGUAUUUUUGUUAAUUGUGUUGUAGACUUUCUCCCUCUUCUAGCAUAUUUUGAUUAAGUAGAAGUGUAAUGGUAGCCUAAGGUAAAUUGGGAAAUCAGUCCUUUGGAUGCAAUUUCUUUGCUUUUUAUUUUUUUUUCCAUUCCUGAUGAAGAACAUUGUGAUGUCACUGAAACACCUAGUGCCUGAUUAUUGAAAUUCCAUUGUAGGGCAUAACUUAGAAAGUACAUAUCAAACUCCUGAAAGAUGUAAUCUGCUUCCUCAGUCACCAGUGACCAAGUAAUGACACCUGUAUGUAGGGAGGUAAGGGGGGUCCUGUACUGAGGAAAGGGAAUGAGUUUUAUCUUCAGAAAUGUUACCGUUAGAAUGACUUAGAGGUAAUAUUUUAAGCAUGGUAUCUUGCAUCUUAUAAUUCAGGAAGUCUAAAAACACAGCACAAGCAAAUUUUAAGAAAUAACAGCUUUUGUUUCAAGAAAGCUUUUAGCCUAUAAUGAUACAAACAUGGUGCAACCCAUUGCUGUGAAUGUGGAUGGAUACCCUGUGGCUAGGGAGCUGCUGCUCUUCCAUCACCUUCCUCACUCCCUGUUUGUGAGCCCAUCUGUUGGGAAAGACAUCUCUCAGCAUGUUGUCCAACAGUGUUGUGCAAACUGGAGGGCAGGAGGGAGGCAGAGAGGGAAGAGUGAGGAUACACCAGCAUAUGUGGACCAAGAGGUAAGUAUGGAGCUUCUGAGAAUGUAGAUGAAGAUAGACUGGGAUGACACUGAGGUAGCACAGAGCCUGGAGUGCCAUGGAGAAUUGGAGCUGAGAGUUCAGGAUGUACCAGGCAGGCUGCACCUCCCAGGGAAAGGCCCUGUGCUUUCAUAACUUCAUCUCUGGUUUGCUCAUUGAGUGGUGGUAGGGGACACCUGAGGAAUGGGAUGUGGUGUGAAAUUUAUGGAAGGCUGUUAGACUGAGAACCUGAGAUCUAAGGAAAAAAAAACACCUUUUAGAGAAGAGGGAAGAGGAGUGGCUCUCCUUAGCUGUGUUUUGGGCCACUGAUGAUCCCACUGCUGAGUCAGAACCACAGGAUUACCUGCUGCAUGUUUUUGAUAGGUUCAGUCAUUCUGGUUUCUGUUUCUGUCAUCUUGCAUCAAGUGACUACAUGAAAUCCCUCUUCCCAGUCAUGUUGGAUGCCAAUUCCUGCUACCUCAAGCACAAUCAGAAUCAUGAGUUUAGUCAGUUACCAUGCUAAGAUGUUACCAAUUUUUCUUUCUCUUGCUUGUAAACUAGACAAAAAGAGAUCUGGGAGUCCUUUGUGAUGAUGUAAGAUCAAUUACCUUCAGUAUCAUUAGUUAAUCUUCCUGUGCUUGGAUCAGGUAUAAUCAGAGUUCUUAGUUAUACUUCUAAUUGGGAUCAUGUUCCUCUUCUUAAUCCAUUUGAUUUUUAUAUAAAAGUGUAUCUAAGAUGAAAAAGCUUUUUAAACUACACAUUUGUGAACAGCAUUUGUAUCCUUCAAAUCACCAUUUACGCCCAACAUCCAGUCUCAGGAUGUAAAUUGAAUUUUCAGUGUUUAUGGUUCUGGAGUCCACAUAGUAAUGUAGUCUUUCAGAUUCUUUUCUCCUGGGAAGACAAAGCUAUCAAAUUCCUGAUAGAGCAUUAGAAGUUCUGGAAACCAUAAAUGCACGUUUGUAAAAUCCUGAAAGAUAAUUAAUUUUUCUAGCAGGUAUUACUGGUUCAAAUUCUAAUGAUGCAAGCUGUGUAGCAAUGAGAGUCAAAAUUGAAAGUGGUAAUGUGCAGAUGUUUAAAACUAUAGAUUGGAUGUCCAGACUGAAGGAAGUAAAAACAUAAGCAUAUAACAAAAAAAUUUUAAAAAAUGGAUUUUUAAAAUUUAUUAUUAGUCACUGGCUGUCAUACUCCACUGGAAGGGUGUUUCUUGAACUGAAGGGGAUGUUGAAGGCAACUACUUAAACAUGCAAUUUUGGGGAAAUUUUCACAAAACAGUAUUAAUUAUAUCAAGGAGUGAAAGUUUCAUUUGCAUUAUUGAGUCACGUGAUUUGAGAUUUCAACCUAUAAAUAAAGAGUAUUUCACUCCUAAGGCAAGAAAAAUAGGUAUCUUGCAUAUAUGAGAUGAGUUGUCACACCAUUAAUAUUGCUGAAUACCCCUUUUUACUUGGUAAGAGAUUUCAAUUAUAAGAAUAUUUGAAAACACCUUUUUAGGAUAAAAGAUCACAUUGGAAGUGUCACUUCUAGGUUCUUUGCUGAGUAUUCUCAUGAUUGAAGUAGAAAAUUUCCCUUUUUAGUCUGUUCUCAGUGAUGUGAUAGGGUGCAAUUACCUUACCACAGUAUAAUGUCUUCAGCUGAGCUGUCACCCAACUUGCUGAGUGAAAAAUAUUGACCUGAAUCAUCUCCACUGAAAGUUACCUUCUGGUUGGGAUGGAAAAUUAUGGCUAGUGCUCAUUAUUGGUUGCAACGAGUCAAGGAGCAGGUCAGAACUCAUUAAGUCCAUCACACUGCUGAAUCUAGUACCCCUAAGUUAUCACACAGACUUAAACAGACAUGAACAGCAGCUUUUGAAAGAGCUCUAAAAUGUGUGGAUCUUCCAGUUAAUCUGUGAGCUUUAAUGAGGUGCUGGAUUCAGCUGGUUUUAGAUUUCUUGUGAAGAUCUUGACUUGCACUGCAAGCACACUUUUAUGCUAGGGUGAUAACCUUAGUGAUAAUUACUGUCUAAAAGCAGAGGACAAGGUCUGGUAUGCUGGUGAAUUGGGAACUAGACCUUUUUCUGUCACUCAUUUGCUUUGCUGACUUGGCCAAAACUGCUUGAACAUCUCUGCUUCAUUUUCCUUACUCAGAAUAUAAGACAUAUAUUUCCUGAAAAGUGUGGUUCCAUGCUUACUUACAAUACAUUUUUUGUAAAGCACUUGGAAGAUGAAAAUCUGUUCAAGAAAAUCUGUGUGGCCUUGACUCUCUUGUUCUUCGUUAUUACGCUGUCAGACACUUAAUGAGAGAACUCUUGACUCAGCAGAAAUUGUGCCCUCACUUCUUAAACUGCAAGACUUCUGUACUUGCUGAAUGACACCAGCAUAACAGUGCAAUAAAUUAUAUUGACUGUUUCUUAGCUGGCAGGGGAGGAGGGAAUGGACUCCAACAUACACCCACAGUUUAAUGUCUAAACCUGAAUUAUGGUAGAGCAUCCACAUGUGCAACUGUGCUCAGUUUGGGGUCCUGUUGGUAACUUUCAGAGUAGAAGCAUAAUUGCUUCUGUAUCACUUUGUUCCAUGAAUGUGAGGCUCGUGUGAAAACUGUAUUACCUGUGGCAAUGCAGACAGGCCUUCAUUAAUAACACAAUAAUGCUCUGGGUUUUCUGGUCUUGAGGAGAGAAGGAGCAGCAUGAGUACACGACCAAAUUACUUCAGGAGUGAAGAUGCUUACUUAGGUGUGGCAAAAGAUUUGCAGAAACUCACUAUUUCAGAGAGUAUCCAAAAUGUUGGACAAAGGAGAGAGCUUGCAACUGUCACACCAGCUGGAGAGCAGAAUCUGGGGCUGCUCUUCUGUCUUGUUGUGGUUGUUCAGAGCUGUAUGCCAGGAUGGGCAUGUCACAGCAGGGGACACCGGGCACAUCACAGCACUGUUCUGGAAGGAGCCAUGAAAGUGCAGUCUGACAACGAGCUUGCAGAGAUGGGGGUCAAAAAAUUCAGAUGCUGUGGAGAGCUGUUGGCUCCUUGAAACUCAACUUCUCCGACCUAAGAUGAAUCCAGAAACAGUAUCACCCUGGGAGAAAGAAUGGAACUCAGAGGCUUCAUAUGGGGAAUUUGGAGAGGCAUCUUCUUCACACCUGUGGAAAACUUUGCAGGACAGGAUGAAAGGAUAACAUGUUCUCCAAAAUUUUCAAGUGCACUAAACCAAGAUUUCUGUAAAAUGAACCAGGGUCGGGGGGGUGGAAUGUGUGCUUGAAGAAACACAGAAGAUUUGGAGAGGGACACAGGAAUGUGGAUGAAGUCCUUUAGGAUCUCUAGAGAGAGCAAAUGUAGAUUCAGCAAAGCUUUAUGAGACAAAACAUCCAUGAUGCUCCUAUAGCUCAGUUGUGUUCACUGUCCUCUUGGGGCUUUCCCUUUACUUGUACCUGCUGGCCAACUGGCUGGUGUAGAACACAAUUUCUGCCACAAUUUCUGCACAGCCCCAGAGGAAAAUCACAGUAGUGAUGAGUGUUUGUAUUCUGAUCUCAGAACUGAGUAGAAACUAGAAGAAAUUUCACACAAUUUUCUUGCCUGAUCAUCUUUAGGAACAAGACACAGAAAAUCAUAACAUAUCUCUAUUUGUCUGCUGGUUUGCAUACCUCUAGAGGAUUCUCUCACUUCUACGUCUUAUUUUUGGACUACUCUUGGCCAAUUUCAGGGAAAAAUGUAUAGAUUAAUAGUAAUCUCAAAGCCUAUGAAGUUACAAUGCUUGGGAAGAGAGGUGACCUAGCAGGUAACAGAAUCCAAAUAGGAAAGAGGCCUUUAAGAGAUCCAAACCAGGAAGAUGGUUGUAUCUGAAGUUUAUACCUGUUUUAUAUGUGAAAGUCAAGUGAACACAAGACAUGAAGUUAUAGGAGGAAACUAUGAUUUGUUCUUUCUUCUUAAGUGACUGUACAUGAGAACUGUUUUUCACCACUACUCAAUAAAGUUGUUAUAUAUGA
Molecule: long non-coding RNA, 5064 nt
Organism: Passer domesticus (house sparrow)
Lineage: Eukaryota; Metazoa; Chordata; Aves; Passeriformes; Passeridae
Exons: 2
Source: RefSeq, a predicted model, not a curated record